Molecule: ribosomal RNA, 1378 nt
Filed under: Latilactobacillus sakei
Lineage: Bacteria; Bacillati; Bacillota; Bacilli; Lactobacillales; Lactobacillaceae
Description: bacterial SSU rRNA
Rfam family: Bacterial small subunit ribosomal RNA
Source: RNAcentral
UUGAAGGAGCUUGCUCCUGAUUGAUAAACAUUUGAGUGAGUGGCGGACGGGUGAGUAACACGUGGGUAACCUGCCCUAAAGUGGGGGAUAACAUUUGGAAACAGAUGCUAAUACCGCAUAAAACCUAACACCGCAUGGUGUAGGGUUGAAAGAUGGUUUCGGCUAUCACUUUAGGAUGGACCCGCGGUGCAUUAGUUAGUUGGUGAGGUAAAGGCUCACCAAGACCGUGAUGCAUAGCCGACCUGAGAGGGUAAUCGGCCACACUGGGACUGAGACACGGCCCAGACUCCUACGGGAGGCAGCAGUAGGGAAUCUUCCACAAUGGACGAAAGUCUGAUGGAGCAACGCCGCGUGAGUGAAGAAGGUUUUCGGAUCGUAAAACUCUGUUGUUGGAGAAGAAUGUAUCUGAUAGUAACUGAUCAGGUAGUGACGGUAUCCAACCAGAAAGCCACGGCUAACUACGUGCCAGCAGCCGCGGUAAUACGUAGGUGGCAAGCGUUGUCCGGAUUUAUUGGGCGUAAAGCGAGCGCAGGCGGUUUCUUAAGUCUGAUGUGAAAGCCUUCGGCUCAACCGAAGAAGUGCAUCGGAAACUGGGAAACUUGAGUGCAGAAGAGGACAGUGGAACUCCAUGUGUAGCGGUGAAAUGCGUAGAUAUAUGGAAGAACACCAGUGGCGAAGGCGGCUGUCUGGUCUGUAACUGACGCUGAGGCUCGAAAGCAUGGGUAGCAAACAGGAUUAGAUACCCUGGUAGUCCAUGCCGUAAACGAUGAGUGCUAGGUGUUGGAGGGUUUCCGCCCUUCAGUGCCGCAGCUAACGCAUUAAGCACUCCGCCUGGGGAGUACGACCGCAAGGUUGAAACUCAAAGGAAUUGACGGGGGCCCGCACAAGCGGUGGAGCAUGUGGUUUAAUUCGAAGCAACGCGAAGAACCUUACCAGGUCUUGACAUCCUUUGACCACUCUAGAGAUAGAGCUUUCCCUUCGGGGACAAAGUGACAGGUGGUGCAUGGUUGUCGUCAGCUCGUGUCGUGAGAUGUUGGGUUAAGUCCCGCAACGAGCGCAACCCUUAUUACUAGUUGCCAGCAUUUAGUUGGGCACUCUAGUGAGACUGCCGGUGACAAACCGGAGGAAGGUGGGGACGACGUCAAAUCAUCAUGCCCCUUAUGACCUGGGCUACACACGUGCUACAAUGGAUGGUACAACGAGUUGCGAGACCGCGAGGUUUAGCUAAUCUCUUAAAACCAUUCUCAGUUCGGAUUGUAGGCUGCAACUCGCCUACAUGAAGCCGGAAUCGCUAGUAAUCGCGGAUCAGCAUGCCGCGGUGAAUACGUUCCCGGGCCUUGUACACACCGCCCGUCACACCAUGAGAGUUUGUAACACC